Ribosomal RNA from Pteropus vampyrus (large flying fox), 120 nucleotides. The record is from Ensembl. Lineage: Eukaryota; Metazoa; Chordata; Mammalia; Chiroptera; Pteropodidae.
GUCUACAGCCAUGCCACCCUGAGCAAGCCGGUGCCCGUCUGAUCUCAAAAGCUAAGCAGGGGUCAGGCCUGGUUAGUACUUGGAUGGGAGACCACUUAGGAAGACCAGGUGCUGUAGGAG